Molecule: ribosomal RNA, 434 nt
Filed under: Rhyzobius litura
Lineage: Eukaryota; Metazoa; Arthropoda; Insecta; Coleoptera; Coccinellidae
Description: partial 16S ribosomal RNA
Source: RNAcentral
CUCUUUUUGAUAAUAAUUUAAAGUCGGGCCUGCCCACUGAGAAAUUGAAGGGCCGCAGUAUUUUGACUGUGCAAAGGUAGCAUAAUCAUUAGUUUUUUAAUUGAAAGCUGGAAUGAAUGGUUUGAUGAAAAAAUUACUGUCUUAAAUUUAAUUUUAUAGAACUUUAUUUUUAAGUUAAAAAGCUUAAAUGCUUUUAAAAGACGAGAAGACCCUAUAGAGUUUAAUUUAUUUAAAAUUAUAAAUUUUUAGAAUUUAAUAGUUUUUAGUUUUAAAUAAAUUUGAUUGGGGUGAUUAAAAAAUUAAAUGAACUUUUUUUUUAUAAAUACAUAAAUUAAUGAAUAAUUGAUCCAAUUUAAUUGAUUAUAAGAUUAAAUUACCUUAGGGAUAACAGCGUUAUUUUUUUUAAGAGUUCAAAUCGAAAAAAAAGAUUGCGA